RNAcentral lists this ribosomal RNA (496 nucleotides) under uncultured bacterium. RNAcentral describes it as "partial 16S ribosomal RNA". It matches the Rfam family "Bacterial small subunit ribosomal RNA", at positions 28 to 506 of the family's 1533-position model. The record is from RNAcentral.
GAUGAACGCUGGCGGCGUGCCUAAUACAUGCAAGUCGAGCGAACGGACGAGAAGCUUGCUUCUCUGAUGUUAGCGGCGGACGGGUGAGUAACACGUGGAUAACCUACCUAUAAGACUGGGAUAACUUCGGGAAACCGGAGCUAAUACCGGAUAAUAUUAUGAACCGCAUGGUUCAAAAGUGAAAGACGGUCUUGCUGUCACUUAUAGAUGGAUCCGCGCUGCAUUAGCUAGUUGGUAAGGUAACGGCUUACCAAGGCAACGAUGCAUAGCCGACCUGAGAGGGUGAUCGGCCACACUGGAACUGAGACACGGGCCAGACUCCUACGGGAGGCAGCAGUAGGGAAUCUUCCGCAAUGGGCGAAAGCCUGACGGAGCAACGCCGCGGGAGUGAUGAAGGUCUUCGGAUCGUAAAACUCUGUUAUUAGGGAAGAACAUAUGUGUAAGUAACGGUGCACAUCUUGACGGUACCUAAUCAGAAAGCCACGGCUAACUACGU